UGCCUCCUGAGGGCUGGGCUAGCCCUCUUAUAUAGUCCUCUUAUUUUAUAUAUUUUUUAUGUUUCACUUCAUUCUGGAAUGCAUGCUAGAAAGAUUUUGUUUUAAGUGCAUGUGGUAGCUUGUAACAUUAUACCCCAGCUUUGAAGCCAAAGCCAAACACUUGCUUUUAACCUUCAUUGUACUCCUUUCCCCUAGUUAUGAUGAUGAAGUUGAUAAAGUAAGCCAGUAUCAACGACGGAGCCUUGAAGACCUGGAAAAGAUAGAAAUAGGUCCCGAGCCUACUCUUUUUGGCAAACCAAAGUUCUCCUGCAUGC
This 314-nucleotide long non-coding RNA is filed under the name Rattus norvegicus (Norway rat). RNAcentral's name for it is "long non-coding RNA NONRATT001260". The record is from RNAcentral. Lineage: Eukaryota; Metazoa; Chordata; Mammalia; Rodentia; Muridae.